This 366-nucleotide unclassified non-coding RNA is filed under the name soil metagenome. Its description in RNAcentral is "partial contains 5.8S ribosomal RNA, internal transcribed spacer 2, and large subunit ribosomal RNA". The stretch from base 1 to 121 matches the Rfam family "5.8S ribosomal RNA", at positions 35 to 154 of the family's 154-position model. The record is from RNAcentral.
GAUGAAGAACGCAGCGAACGUGCGAAACGUAAUGUGAAUUGCAGAAUUCAGUGAAUCAUCGAAUCUUUGAACGCAUCUUGCGCUCCUUGGUAUUCCGAGGAGCAUGCCUGUUUGAGUGUCAUGAAACCUUCUCAAUUUCAAUCUUGUUUUUGAAAUUGGAUGUGGGUGUUGUUGUGUGUCACAACUCAUCCUAAAUGCAUUAGCGAUCUGCCUGUGAUCACACACAAUGUGAUAAGUCUUAGAGCAUUGUUGCGAUCGAGUCAGGGUUGCUUCCAACUGUCCCACCAAGGACAAAUUUCUAUGUCAUUUGACCUCAGAUCAGGCAGGACUACCCGCUGAACUUAAGCAUAUCAAUAAGCGGAAGGA